UAUAACAUUAAUUAAAUAAUUAAAUUAAAAAAAUCAGAAAACACACACACACACACACUGUCAUAUUCUUCCUCUUCCGUCACCUAUCUCCACCUCAAACAUAAAGUCCACCCCCCAUCACUACCUCCACAUCCACCUUUAUCCCAACUUGGCUAACACUCAAGUUAAAGCAAUAAGGAGAGCGAGAGAGAUGGAAUUGAAUGUGAGGAAGAGGAAGCAGCUGAAGAAUAAGGCGAUUUGAGCAAAAAUUAGGGCAAACCAGACUGCGAAAAACGAACCAGGGUUAAAAUUGAUGGAAUCGAGGAUAUAGGCUAUCAUGAGGCCAACAGUGAGAAUGGUGACAAUCGGAGUUCCACCAAGUUCUUGGAGGAAGAUGGGGGAUGGUAUCAAGGCAAUAGUGAUUUUGGUGAAGAAGGAAGACGGCGAGUAUUGGGAAUUUCUAGCGGAAGAGCCGCUGCUGCUAUUGGUGGUGCAAUGAUAGACAGAGUAGAAAGAGCUAGGGCUAGGGUUUUGGUCGCCAUUGUAGGAGGUAGUGGGAAACGAAGGGCGCCCAGGAGGAAGAUAUGUAUGGACGGAAGGCCCUCGGCUGGAGUUUCGUCGGAAACCUCUUCGUUGGGGACCUCGGCGGUUGUGGUGACGUCUAAGGAGGUGGCAGAAAUGGGUGUUUGCAAAGGAUAGGUUGGGGCUGGAUUGGGUAGGUUGGGGAAGAAGAUACAGGUUUCCCCCCCUUCUUUUAAUUUAAUUAUGUAAUUAUUUAAUUUAGUAAAUUGAAAGUUACUAUUUUGCCAUUUAUAAGAAGAUUAAAAAUGUGGUCAAACUCAAGUUUUUUGUCAACUAACUGUAAAUUGGAUGUUUUCCAUUCAUUGGGACCUCAACUGUAACGUUUCGA
Molecule: long non-coding RNA, 889 nt
Filed under: Olea europaea subsp. europaea
Lineage: Eukaryota; Viridiplantae; Streptophyta; Magnoliopsida; Lamiales; Oleaceae
Source: RNAcentral